UGAGCCGUUAGCUUAGUUGGUAAAGCUGCUGACUCUUAAUCAGCUGAUCGUAGGUUCAAUUCCUACACGGCUCAA
This 75-nucleotide transfer RNA is filed under the name Candidatus Azoamicus ciliaticola. RNAcentral describes it as "endosymbiont of Plagiopylea sp. tRNA-Lys(ctt)". It matches the Rfam family "tRNA". From Rfam's summary of the family: Transfer RNA (tRNA) molecules are approximately 80 nucleotides in length. Their secondary structure includes four short double-helical elements and three loops (D, anti-codon, and T loops). Further hydrogen bonds mediate the characteristic L-shaped molecular structure. tRNAs have two regions of fundamental functional importance: the anti-codon, which is responsible for specific mRNA codon recognition, and the 3' end, to which the tRNAs corresponding amino acid is attached (by aminoacyl-tRNA synthetases). tRNAs cope with the degeneracy of the genetic code in two manners: having more than one tRNA (with a specific anti-codon) for a particular amino acid; and 'wobble' base-pairing, i.e. permitting non-standard base-pairing at the 3rd anti-codon position. The record is from RNAcentral. Lineage: Bacteria; Pseudomonadati; Pseudomonadota; Gammaproteobacteria; Candidatus Azoamicaceae.